UCGGACUUCAGGCUGUCUGAUGCAGUCGAGCGGAACGAGAAUAGCUUGCUAUUCGGCGUCGAGCGGCGGACGGGUGAGUAAUGCUUGGGAAUAUGCCUAGAGGUGGGGGACAACAGUUGGAAACGACUGCUAAUACCGCAUAAUGUCUACGGACCAAAGGGGGGGACGCUUCGGCACCUUUCGCCUUUAGAUUAGCCCAAGUGAGAUUAGCUAGUUGGUGGGGUAAUGGCCUACCAAGGCGACGAUCUCUAGCUGGUUUGAGAGGAUGAUCAGCCACACUGGGACUGAGACACGGCCCAGACUCCUACGGGAGGCAGCAGUGGGGAAUAUUGCACAAUGGGGGAAACCCUGAUGCAGCCAUGCCGCGUGUGUGAAGAAGGCCUUCGGGUUGUAAAGCACUUUCAGUCGUGAGGAAAGGGUAGUAGUUAAUACCUGCUAUCUGUGACGUUAGCGACAGAAGAAGCACCGGCUAACUCCGUGCCAGCAGCCGCGGUAAUACGGAGGGUGCGAGCGUUAAUCGGAAUUACUGGGCGUAAAGCGUGCGUAGGCGGAUGAUUAAGCGAGAUGUGAAAUCCCGGGGCUUAACCUCGGAACUGCAUUUCGAACUGGUCGUCUAGAGUAUUGUAGAGGGUGGUGGAAUUUCCAGUGUAGCGGUGAAAUGCGUAGAG
This 668-nucleotide ribosomal RNA is filed under the name Thalassomonas sp. KR05-87. RNAcentral describes it as "bacterial SSU rRNA". It matches the Rfam family "Bacterial small subunit ribosomal RNA", at positions 35 to 695 of the family's 1533-position model. The record is from RNAcentral. Lineage: Bacteria; Pseudomonadati; Pseudomonadota; Gammaproteobacteria; Alteromonadales; Colwelliaceae.